ACUCUUCACAGAUUAAAUGCAUUUGCCAGGCAAUGGUAAAUGGUGGCGUUGGGAGCUUAGGAGGAUGUGUACGUCAGGAACCCCACAGAGACAUUGCCUGCAUAGCAAUACUAACACAUUUUUUCUUUAUACAAAAAUAACUACUAAAAUUAUGUCCAUGAAUGUUAGAGGUUUGAAUUCCCAUACAAAAGGAGGCUUCUGUGGAAUGAAGUAAAAACCACAGGUUUAUUUUAUUUUAAAUGAAGUUUAUUGAAAAUGUGAGUAACAACACAUUCAGGCAAUAUCAAUAUUGGGCUCAAUUGUCAGUAGGAAAAGGUAUUUACAUUGUGACAGAGAACAGAGAUGGUAAGUACAAAUGGUAUCAGCAAAUUCCCGACAAAAAAAUAAUUUAAUCUUGGGCCCAAGUAUGUAACAGCAAA
Non-coding RNA from Pelobates cultripes (western spadefoot toad), 419 nucleotides. Lineage: Eukaryota; Metazoa; Chordata; Amphibia; Anura; Pelobatidae. The record is from the annotation of a GenBank genome assembly.